AGUGAACGCUGGCGGUAGACCUAACACAUGCAAGUCGAACGGUAGCACAGUAAGAGCUUGCUCUUACGGGUGGCGAGUGGCGGACGGGUGAGGAAUACAUCGGAAUCUACUUUUUCGUGGGGGAUAACGUAGGGAAACUUACGCUAAUACCGCAUACGACCUACGGGUGAAAGCAGGGGAUCUUCGGACCUUGCGCGAUUGAAUGAGCCGAUGUCGGAUUAGCUAGUUGGCGGGGUAAAGGCCCACCAAGGCGACGAUCCGUAGCUGGUCUGAGAGGAUGAUCAGCCACACUGGAACUGAGACACGGUCCAGACUCCUACGGGAGGCAGCAGUGGGGAAUAUUGGACAAUGGGCGCAAGCCUGAUCCAGCCAUACCGCGUGGGUGAAGAAGGCCUUCGGGUUGUAAAGCCCUUUUGUUGGGAAAGAAAAGCAGCAGGUUAAUACCCCGCUGUUCUGACGGUACCCAAAGAAUAAGCACCGGCUAACUUCGUG
RNAcentral lists this ribosomal RNA (492 nucleotides) under uncultured bacterium. Its description in RNAcentral is "partial 16S ribosomal RNA". It matches the Rfam family "Bacterial small subunit ribosomal RNA", at positions 29 to 507 of the family's 1533-position model. The record is from RNAcentral.